GCAUGGGUUUGGAUUUAUGGCAGGUCUGAUCCCAUGAGCCUCUCACAGUAUCCCAUGCCCAAGCAGAUUGUAACCCCGAACUAUUGCCUGGCUUUACCCCAUGAGUUUCAGGCACUGAAGUGAGUUGCACUGUG
This 134-nucleotide small nucleolar RNA is filed under the name Echinops telfairi (small Madagascar hedgehog). Its description in RNAcentral is "Small nucleolar RNA SNORA42/SNORA80 family (ENSETEG00000023234.1)". It matches the Rfam family "Small nucleolar RNA SNORA42/SNORA80 family". Rfam says of the family: The members of this family belong to the H/ACA class of snoRNAs that guide the sites of modification of uridines to pseudouridines. Human ACA42 (SNORA42) was cloned from HeLa cells by immunoprecipitation with anti-GAR1 antibody. Its is predicted to guide the pseudouridylation of residues U109 and U572 of 18S rRNA. The record is from RNAcentral. Lineage: Eukaryota; Metazoa; Chordata; Mammalia; Afrosoricida; Tenrecidae.